This 253-nucleotide ribosomal RNA is filed under the name uncultured bacterium. RNAcentral describes it as "partial 16S ribosomal RNA". It matches the Rfam family "Bacterial small subunit ribosomal RNA", at positions 524 to 776 of the family's 1533-position model. The record is from RNAcentral.
GACAGAGGUGCCGAGCGUUAGGCGGAAUCACUGGGCUUAAAGCGUGUGUAGGCGGGCGGGCAAGUACCUUGUGAAAUCCCACGGCUCAACCGUGGAACGGCUGGGUAUACUGCCUGUCUUGAGCCAACUAGGGGCGAGCGGAACAGACGGUGGAGCGGUGAAAUGCGUAGAUAUCGUCUGGAACGCCAAAGGUGAAAACAGCUCGCUGGGGUUGUGCUGACGCUGAGACACGAAAGCCAGGGGGGCGAACAGG